This 886-nucleotide ribosomal RNA is filed under the name uncultured archaeon. Its description in RNAcentral is "bacterial SSU rRNA". It matches the Rfam family "Archaeal small subunit ribosomal RNA", at positions 42 to 903 of the family's 1478-position model. The record is from RNAcentral.
GACUAAGCAAUGCUAGUUGCGCGUCCCGGGCUAUGGCGGGGCGCAGCAUACGGCUCAGUAACACGUGGCUAACCUGCCCUUGGGACGGGGACAAUCCCGGGAAACUGGGGCUAAUCCCCGGUAGGUGAGGGGGCCUGGAAUGGUUCCUCACCUAAAGGGCGUUGGAGCCAUGCUUUCCAACGUUGCCCAAGGAUGGGGCCGCGGCCGAUCAGGUUGUUGGUGGGGUAACGGCCUACCAAGCCUAUAACCGGUACGGGCCGUGGGAGCGGAAGCCCGGAGAUGGGCACUGAGACAAGGGCCCAGGUCCUACGGGGCGCAGCAUGCGCGAAACCUCCGCAAUGCGCGAAAGCGUGACGGGGUUACCCCGAGUGCCGUCCGCUGAGGAUGGCUUUUCUCCGGUGUAACUAGCCGGAGGUAAUAAGAGGAGGGCAAGGUCUGGUGUCAGCCGCCGCGGUAAAACCAGCUCCUCGAGUGGUGGGGAUGAUUAUUGGGCUUAAAGCGUUCGUAGCCGGCCUGACAAGUCUUCCGUUAAAUCCAGCGACUCAAUCGCUGGGCCGCGGAAGAUACUGCCGGGCUAGGGGACGGGAGAGGCCGACGGUAUUCUUGGGGUAGGGGCGAAAUCCUAUAAUCCCAAGAGGACCACCAGUGGCGAAGGCGGUCGGCUAGAACGAGCUCGACGGUGAGGGACGAAAGCUGGGGGAGCGAACCGGAUUAGAUACCCGGGUAGUCCCAGCUGUAAACGAUGCGGGCUAGGUGUUGGAGCGGUCACGAACCGCUUCGGUGCCGCAGGGAAACCGUUAAGCCCGCCGCCUGGGAAGUACGGCCGCAAGGCUGAAACUUAAAGGAAUUGGCGGGGGAGCACCACAAGGCGUGAAGCUUGCGGUUU